AGUGAACGCUGGCGGUAGGCCUAACACAUGCAAGUCGAACGGCAGCACAGUAAGAGCUUGCUCUUACGGGUGGCGAGUGGCGGACGGGUGAGGAAUACAUCGGAAUCUACUUUUUCGUGGGGGAUAACGUAGGGAAACUUACGCUAAUACUGCAUACGACCUACGGGUGAAAGCAGGGGAUCUUCGGACCUUGCGCGAUUGAAUGAGCCGAUGUCGGAUUAGCUAGUUGGCGGGGUAAAGGCCCACCAAGGCGACGAUCCGUAGCUGGUCUGAGAGGAUGAUCAGCCACACUGGAACUGAGACACGGUCCAGACUCCUACGGGAGGCAGCAGUGGGGAAUAUUGGACAAUGGGCGCAAGCCUGAUCCAGCCAUACCGCGUGGGUGAAGAAGGCCUUCGGGUUGUAAAGCCCUUUUGUUGGGAAAGAAAAGCAGCAGGUUAAUACCCCGCUGUUCUGACGGUACCCAAAGAAUAAGCGCCGGCUAACUUCGUG
This 492-nucleotide ribosomal RNA is filed under the name uncultured bacterium. RNAcentral's name for it is "partial 16S ribosomal RNA". It matches the Rfam family "Bacterial small subunit ribosomal RNA", at positions 29 to 507 of the family's 1533-position model. The record is from RNAcentral.